This 486-nucleotide long non-coding RNA is filed under the name Oreochromis niloticus (Nile tilapia). RNAcentral's name for it is "lncRNA (ENSONIG00000041070.1)". The record is from RNAcentral. Lineage: Eukaryota; Metazoa; Chordata; Actinopteri; Cichliformes; Cichlidae.
AUGCUGGAUCAUGAGGCUGGAGCCGACAUGCGACUGGUCCGUAAGAUCAACACAGGCAUGAAGAUCCACGCCGGGGGUGAGCACAUGGGCUGCAGCAAGGUGGAAGACAACCAGGACAACCAGGUCAUCUGUUUGCAAUGUCAAGAUGAGGUGAUGCGGGUUUGUCCGGGGAGUCCGCGCAGUCCUCGCCGCGCUAUCGCGACGCGCCUCUCAUCCGGAUCCGCAGAUCGCGAACCCAGCAGCAGCAGCUACAAUGUCUCCUCAGGAACCUUCUACAGUUGUGUCAGUCAGAUCACCAUCGGUGAGUGCACUGCUUUUGAGUUGUGUCAUGGUUCCGGGUCUUUGACCCAGUGUGGUGAUUUGGUCUUUUAAAUCUUAAUUCAACAUUGUUUGGUUUUUGAGUAGCGGGUUUUUGAUUUAUUUCCAGGUUUAUUCUGCGAUUUUAUUCUAGUUCUACUUUGUUUUCUUCUGUGUCUUGUAUUUCCC